This 314-nucleotide ribosomal RNA is filed under the name uncultured Pseudomonas sp. RNAcentral's name for it is "bacterial SSU rRNA". It matches the Rfam family "Bacterial small subunit ribosomal RNA", at positions 1068 to 1382 of the family's 1533-position model. The record is from RNAcentral. Lineage: Bacteria; Pseudomonadati; Pseudomonadota; Gammaproteobacteria; Pseudomonadales; Pseudomonadaceae.
UGAGAUGUUGGGUUAAGUCCGUAACGAGCGCAACCCUUGUCCUUAGUUACCAGCACGUUAUGGUGGGCACUCUAAGGAGACUGCCGGUGACAAACCGGAGGAAGGUGGGGAUGACGUCAAGUCAUCAUGGCCCUUACGGCCUGGGCUACACACGUGCUACAAUGGUCGGUACAAAGGGUUGCCAAGCCGCGAGGUGGAGCUAAUCCCAUAAAACCGAUCGUAGUCCGGAUCGCAGUCUGCAACUCGACUGCGUGAAGUCGGAAUCGCUAGUAAUCGUGAAUCAGAAUGUCACGGUGAAUACGUUCCCGGGCCUU